Molecule: ribosomal RNA, 440 nt
Filed under: uncultured bacterium
Lineage: Bacteria
Description: partial 16S ribosomal RNA
Rfam family: Bacterial small subunit ribosomal RNA
Source: RNAcentral
CCUACGGGGUGCUGCAGUGGGGAAUAUUGCACAAUGGGGGAAACCCUGAUGCAGCGACGCCGCGUGAGUGAAGAAGUAAUUAGUUAUGUAAAGCUCUAUCAGCAGGGAAGAAAAUGACGGUACCUGAGUAAGAAGCCCCGACUAACUACGUGCCAGCAGCCGCGGUAAUACGUAGGGGGCAAGCGUUAUCCGGAUUUACUGGGUGUAAAGGGAGCGUAGACGGCAGUGCAAGUCUGGAGUGAAAGGCGGGGGCUCAACCCCCGGACUGCUCUUGAAACUGUACGGCUGGAGUGCGGGAGAGGUAAGUGGAAUUCCUAGUGUAGCGGUGAAAUGCGUAGAUAUUAGGAGGAACACCAGUGGCGAAGGCGGCUUACUGGACUGUAACUGACGUUGAGGCUCGAAAGCGUGGGGAGCAAACAGGAUUAGAUACCCGAGUAGUC